Molecule: long non-coding RNA, 201 nt
Filed under: Lathyrus oleraceus (garden pea)
Lineage: Eukaryota; Viridiplantae; Streptophyta; Magnoliopsida; Fabales; Fabaceae
Description: Pisum sativum (pea) long non-coding RNA (PSAT_LNC015482)
Source: RNAcentral
GGAGGACGUCCUUGGAUCUGUUGGUGGUGGCCAAGAGGAGGAAGAUUGAGGAGUUUGUGAAUUUUAGAGUUUGCUUUUUUUUUAGUUUUCUUUGUAUUAUUAUUGUUUUUGUAAAAUUUUGAUUGUACUUUUGGGUGGCUCUAGUUCACCAAAACUUUGGUUUGUUAGUUUGUUUUGUUAAUUGCAUGAAUACUCUGUGAG